UUACUCCGGGGUUGUGUAAGUACAGUCUGGUGAAGUCAGGUACACUCUACCUCUCAGUACAUUCUCCCCGCGUACCCCAAAUAGUACCUCAGCCUCCCUAUGGCCUCCUGGAUGAAAUUUCUAAGGCGUAAUAAGGUAGUGAUAAUCUUUCCGCUGUUCACUGCUGCUGCCAUCACCGCUGACUUGGUACACACCAGACGCUGGAAGGCACAGAAGGCUGCUGCCGCUUCCCCCGGGACCCCUCUACCUGGAUAAGGUCUGGGUAGGGCCACGUAGUCUUUCCAAGGUCCGUCUUACCCCUUACGUCCUCUGGUAGCAAGGAUGUUCUUCAACCACGUAAAGAUCGACCGCAAGCUGAUGCUGGGGAUCUUGGUGCCUCUCACUGGGUACUACCUUGGCUCACUGCUGGACCGUACUGAGACCAACAGGCUCGUCAUGUUCAGAGACAAGUCAGCGCUGUACGGCCGAGAGCUGGCACCUGGAGAGAAACCUUCAUGGCCUUAACCGCCACCACCACUACCUCCCCUACCAGCCCUGUGCCACCCCUACCCCCUCUCUGUACAGCCUUGUAUAGCUAUGAUGAUUAAAGAGUAAAAUUUGUGAGUAA
Scylla paramamosain (green mud crab) is the source of this 607-nucleotide long non-coding RNA. RefSeq lists it as uncharacterized. The record is from RefSeq and is a predicted model, not a curated record. NCBI's taxonomy places the organism in Eukaryota, Metazoa, Arthropoda, Malacostraca, Decapoda, Portunidae. The transcript has 3 exons.